AGAAUCAACGCUGGCGGCGUGCCUAACACAUGCAAGUCGAACGAGAAAGUGGAGCAAUCCAUGAGUAAAGUGGCGCACGGGUGAGUAACACGUGACUAACCUACCCUUGAGUGGGGGAUAACCUAGAGAAAUCUGGGCUAAUACCGCAUAAUACCUUCGGGUCAAAGGAGCAAUUCGCUUAAGGAGGGGGUCGCGGCCGAUUAGUUAGUUGGCGGGGUAAUGGCCCACCAAGACUGUGAUCGGUAUCCGGCCUGAGAGGGCGCACGGACACACUGGAACUGAAACACGGUCCAGACUCCUACGGGAGGCAGCAGUGGGGAAUUUUGCGCAAUGGGGGAAACCCUGACGCAGCAACGCCGCGUGGAGGAUGAAGCCCCUUGGGGCGUAAACUCCUUUCGAUCGGGAAGAUAAUGACGGUACCGAGAGAAGAGCCCCGGCUAACUCGUGCCAGCAGCCGC
Molecule: ribosomal RNA, 458 nt
Filed under: uncultured bacterium
Lineage: Bacteria
Description: SSU rRNA
Rfam family: Bacterial small subunit ribosomal RNA
Source: RNAcentral